This 73-nucleotide transfer RNA is filed under the name Stegodyphus dumicola. RNAcentral describes it as "tRNA-Thr". It matches the Rfam family "tRNA". From Rfam's summary of the family: Transfer RNA (tRNA) molecules are approximately 80 nucleotides in length. Lineage: Eukaryota; Metazoa; Arthropoda; Arachnida; Araneae; Eresidae. The record is from RNAcentral.
GCCUUCGUGGUGUAGCGGUCAGCACGCUCGACGCGUAUUCGAGAGGUCCGUGGUUCGAGUCCUGGCGAGGGCA